RNAcentral lists this transfer-messenger RNA (445 nucleotides) under Parachlamydia acanthamoebae UV-7. RNAcentral describes it as "transfer-messenger RNA Parac_acant_UV7". It matches the Rfam family "transfer-messenger RNA". From Rfam's summary of the family: Bacterial tmRNA, also known as 10Sa RNA or SsrA, is named for its dual tRNA and mRNA-like properties. Its role is to liberate the mRNA from a stalled ribosome. To accomplish this part of the tmRNA is used as a reading frame that ends in a translation stop signal. Lineage: Bacteria; Pseudomonadati; Chlamydiota; Chlamydiia; Parachlamydiales; Parachlamydiaceae. The record is from RNAcentral.
GGGGGUGUCACGGUUUCGACUGAGAAGUCAAGUAUUGAUUGCAUGCGGAGGAUGUCGGUUGGCCUCCUAAAAAAGCCGAUAAAACAAUAAAUGCUAACACAAAUAGCAAACUAAUUAGUGGUGUUGAUUUUGCCGCUGCUGUAGAAGCUGAUUCAGUUUCUUACGCUGCUGCUGCUUAACCUGACUAAUUGGUCGCUGUAUAAAGCCUAACAGCUUUAUCAGCACAGCAGUCUGAGACUGGACCAAGGGUCGAGGAGUCUGCUGUCAUUGACUUGGUACGGAAUAAAGUCCGCCGCUUCUAGGGUUUUAUUCUAAGAUAAAUGAAGCAAGUUAAUCAUAGUGUGGUGGCUGCAAUGUGAUUGACUUAUUUUCAGCACACUAAGCAUGUAGAUAUUAAUAUGUAGAUUUGCCCAGGACGAGAGUUCAAUUCUCUCCACCUCCACCA